This 6045-nucleotide long non-coding RNA is filed under the name Brassica rapa (field mustard). Its description in RNAcentral is "long non-coding RNA (BRAP_LNC003284)". The record is from RNAcentral. Lineage: Eukaryota; Viridiplantae; Streptophyta; Magnoliopsida; Brassicales; Brassicaceae.
UCCAAACGUUACAGGGUUUAUCAUGUCAUAUUGAAGGCAUCUCAAAGUUUCAGAAAGCUCAUCAAUGCGUUAGUGUGAAGUACAGUCACCGACUACAAAAGCUGAAACUUGGUUUCCUACUUCAAUCCAACUACAUCCAGGCGUUUUCUUCAUGCCUCGUUCAGCCAUUUCUCUCCUUACAUCCUCAGCUUCCUUCCACCUCCCACUCGAGCACGAGCAGUACAAGUUAGACAACAGAACAAAACUCAUCUCCUCGCUUGGUUCAGCCAUCUUCAAAACGUUGCUAACCUCUCUCCCUAACUCUGUCUGCCAAUGCGUAGAACAAGCACCAAGAAGAGCUUCCCAUGAACCAUUAUAAGAUGUAGCCAGCUCCUUUGCUUCUGCUAGGUGUCCACUUCUCCCAAACGUAUCUAUCAUACAUGUCACAUGAUCUACUUCCAAUGGGAUUCCAUAAUCAUUAACCAUUGAUUUAAAAACCGCGCUGAGUGGCUGCAAGUUGUCAGCAGUCCAAUGAACGUCACUUUGUCUGGUUUAGUCACUGACGCUAUCAUGUCUUCAUAGAGCUUUAGAGCUUCCUCUGCUAACCCGUGCACACCGAAUGCGAAAAUCAUCGUGUUCCAAGAGACCAAAUCUUUGUUACCUAUAUCACUAAACGCACGGUUUGAUUCGUUGAUAUCUCCACAUUUAGCAUACAAAUUAACCAAAGCGUUACCAACAUAAGCAUAGCCUUGAAAGCCACAAGCCCACAAUGGAUCAAACAACCGUGAAUCAUUCUCCCCUGUCCCAAAAGAGCUAAUCCUGAACACGCGUGAAGAACGGAACCAUACGCAAAAUGAUCUGAACACACAUCAGAUCUCAUCAUCUCAACGAAAAACCUCAGAGCUUGCUCUCCAUCUCCGUUCUUACCGUACCCUGCAAUCAUAGUAGUCCAAGUAAUAAUAUUUCUCUCAGGAGCUAGUUUAAAAACCUCAAGAGCCUUCUCUGUUUCCCCUGUUUUCAUACACGCGUCGAUAACAGAGUUCCAAGAUACCUGAGUCAAGACUUCAAUAGACUCAAACUCUCUCAUAACAUCAUCUUUACAUCCUAAUUUCGCGUAUAAACUCAACACAGAGUUGCUCGCCUCAACCGCAGAGUCCCACCCGUUCUUUACCAUAAACAAGAUUUAAUGACUCAACACAAGCAUUCAUCAGAGAACUAAACGUAUAACAAUCAGGUUCACACUCACUCUCUACCAACAUCGCCUUGAAUAGCCUCAAACAAGACUCAACCUUUCCACAUUGGGCAUGACCAGAGAUCAUUAUAUUCCACGCAUACACAACCCUUUUCGGCAUUUCGACAAAAACAUCAAGGGCGGUUUCAAACUCUCCGGUGUUCAUAUACGCGAACAAAAGCGAGCACCAAGUUACUUCGUUUCUAACAUCACUACACAUAUCUCUAAACGUUUUCUUUGCGCUAAGAGUGUCAGAACACUUACCGUACAUGUCAAUAAGAGAAUUGUUCACCUCUAACGAAGCAACAUAGCUAGAACGUACAGCUAGAGAGUGAACCUGUCGACUAGCGCAAGUGCUCAAGAUCGCUGUAAAGGAGUAACCAUCAGGCUUAGCGUCGGAAAGUCUCAAGUGGGUGAAGAUCGAAAUAGCUUCCUGAUGUAGACCUAACCGAGAAUAGCUCGUUAGCAUUGUGUUCCACGCAACGGUGUCUCGUUCAGGCAUUUCGUCGAACACUUGGCGGGCGGCUGAUAUACGACCUGAUUUCGCUAAAGACGCGACCUUUGAAGUAAGACGAAACAAAACAGACAUUUGGGUCUGAUCAUGAACUCGAAAGUUUGCAUAAGCCAAAGUCCCUUUUCACAACAAUCACCAGAAUUUUGAAAGAGUAGCAUUGCCGCCAAAUUAAUGUAAAGUGACAAAAUUCGGUUUGAUAACACGGUUAGCAAAGACUUUUCUUAAUAACGGAUUAAAGUCUAUUUAGUUAGAUAAAUUACGUCUAGACAUUCGGAUACUCAUUCAAGUUUAGGAGUGAUUCUUUUAAAAGUUUGGAUAUUUUGUUCCAUUUAUAUUUUUCGGAUUAGAAUUAGUUUAUAAUUUCACCUAAUUGGUUGAGAUCAUUUGUCAUCCCAGCAUUCAUCAAAUUCAAAUGUUUAUAUUUGUACAUUCAAACUAAUAAUUGUAAUUUUGGAUAACUAAAUUAUUUCAAAUAUUAAUAUGACUACUGUAUUUUGGAUAUAUAUUUAUGUUUCAAAAUGUAUUUUUUUGGUAUUCAUUCGAAUUUCAGUUUGGUUCAGAAUCAAGUUUUAGUUCUUUAAAUAUAGGAAUUGAGUUCAUGUUAGAGUAUAGCCUUCCAAUUAGUUGAACUGGUUUUGGUUUGAUUCUUGGGUCCAGUUAUUUUGCACAAAUAAUGUACAAAUGUAGGUCUAAUUGGAUCAUAGGCGUCUGGAUCUGGAGCAAGCUUGAUAACUCUCCUGAACAUUGUCAUUAACACGUCAUCAACCAGAAAUGGGUAACCAACAGACAGUCUAAUGCAUAAUCUGACUCAUGCAAUUGAUCUUUGGCGCUGAAGACUUGAAAGGAGCCAGACGUUGUGAUCCCUAUUUCACUCAUUGUCUACGCGGUAAAUACCCUCAGUUUCCAUAUGUAUUAGUUGUGUGUUUAUGAUCUGGAACUCUUCUGCAUGGUAAAAUAACCAUAUCAGCUGGUCUGCCCUUAACCAAUUUAAUUAGGAUGUGUGUAAAAUAUUUUGCAGAUCUGUAUAAUCUAGGGUUAAUAUCGCUUUAUUAUUAACUAAUCGAACUCAUUAUUUGUAUAAUAUGCUCCAAAACUGACUAAUCUAGGGUUCGUAAUCGCUUUAUCAAUCGAUCGCCUCAUAUAUGACAGAUUAUUCUUACAUUUUGAUUCAAUUUAUCGAUAUUCAUACAUUUGUCUUGAACGAUUUGAUUUCGCAGGUUUAGCGGUGGCUGGUUGGGGCCGCCGCUGCCGCCGCCGCCCUCAUCUUCGCCGUUUUCCAUCUCUCCCGAAGUUUUUUCCGCUCUAAGCAAGAUCUUUGAAUAUUUGAAAUCUAUGUUGUCGAUUUUUGAAUAUUGGUUUAAAGUAUCCCAGUUGUUUUUGGGUUUGGGCCGGGAAAUUGAUGAAAUUUAUCUUUUUUGGGUUUGGCAUUUCAUAUUUUUAUAUGAUAUGAUUCACGAGCUCCAAAUUUGAUUAUUGUUCAAAGCUAUCAAAUAGUUCUGGUCCAAAGUGUGUCCGCCUGAGCAGCGUCAUGGACGUACUCAUCAUGGAUCAACUCAGGGUCUAAGCGAAGGACUAACUCCUCAAUACCGCAGGGCCGGUCCAAAGGACAGGCCACUCAAGCCAUCGAUUUGGGCAUAUAUUUAAAAAAAAAAAAAUCUUAUAUGUAUCUGUUAAACAAAUAGAAUUUGCAAGAUUCUAGGUAAAUAUUUAUUUUGGGGAUUAUUCUAGCAAAGUUUAAAAUGAUUAUGUUCAUGCAAUUAGAGUUAAUAUUGAAUUAAUUAUAAAAAUAUUUUGUACAAAUUAUUUACAGAAUAUUACGCAUUCACAUAUGGUGAUGAUUUAGUUAUAGAACUAAUGAUUUUUCGAAAAAUCAAGAUCUGUGGAGGUCCAAAGUUUAUUGAAGUUUCCAAUCAUUUUGCUACUCACAAUAUCCUGAAACUUCAUAUCAUUAGGACUUAAUAUAACAUUACAAUUUAGAUCAGUAGCACAUUUCUUUUCUGAAAGUAAAUUAGAGGUAAAUUCAAGCAUAUAAAAGGCUUUUGACUUUUUAUCAAACAAUUUAAGCUUUUCUAUUCCUCUAAUAGGAAUCUUAUCACCAUUAGCAAUCAUGACAUUAUCAUGAGCAUAUUCAAUAUUUUUAAUUAAGCUAGUGUCGCUAAUUAUAUGAUGAGAUACACACAUAAAUUGCUUAUCCUAUACUAUUAAUCAUUAUGCUAUCAAACACCGGAAGAAGUUUUCCAAAGUUAAAGCUGAUAAAAAUUAUUUGCAUUGUACUAUAUCACAAAAUAGUUCAAGUGGACUUUAUAUGUUAUCAAUUGAGGCAUAUAUAAUUAAAAGACUUAACUAUAUAGAUUUGGUGGAUAAUUUUACAAGAAAUAAAUGCAAUAAAAUCUAUAUUCAACAAAAAAUAUCAUGAAUUUCAAUAGCUUAUAUAAAUAGUUUAUGAAAUUUGAUUUUCUUUGUUGCUUGAUAUUAUUUUGUCUUCUUGAUCAAAUAUUUAUAAGGGCAUAAUUUUUUAUUUUGGUUUCAGGCAGUAUAAACCAUUAGACCGGCACUGCAAAACCAUGAUUGAUGAUGCGGUAGUAGUUGGGGAUGGCAAGGUUUCUCCCAAGGACCGGAUCCGGAUGAAAACCGAGGAAGCGGCAAGCUGGGUUGCGGAGGAAGUUGGCGAAGACACCGGAAACGUCAACCCAUGUCGCAUCCAACUGAAGAAGGAGGCAGUGCGAUCCGGUUGAACGGCUAUGACACUAACACCGUUUGUGGUAUUACUGUGGGAGCUAAUCCUCACAUGCAUUGCAUAGUAGUGAAGAUCAUCAAAAGACAAGACAAUGUGAUAGAAACACGUAUAUCCACUUUCAGGCCCGGCUCAGUUAGACUAUGGGCCUUGUGCCAAAAAAAACAAUGUAUUAUUAUAAAUUAAAAAAUCAGAACUCUAAUUAUACUAUGUUUACAGAUCAGGAUCCUAAUUACACUAUUUUUAUAAAUCAGGAAAAGGAAAUUAUCAAAAAAAAAAAUAGAGGAACCUAGUGCAAAACACCUUCCUAACUGUACAUUUUACUCUUAAACAAACGGAUUCAAUAUGUAAACAUUAUGAUAUGACGUAGAACAUAUCAAAUCAGAAUAAGCCAUAAGCACUCUGUUUAACUUAUAUUUGGCUAGGAAAAGAAAGGGAGAGUACCCGCAGAUUAUCGAUAUGGCGGUGGUGGAGCAGCCAUGAAAGAUCUCGUCAUGGUGCCUCAAGCUCCUUCCAGCACCAAUUUGGACAUCAGACCUGUAGGUAUCCAUCUUUUCUGGUACAGAUUCUCGGCAGAGAGACUAAAUAAGAAGAGAGCUAUGAUGAGAAACAUCCACAUAGGAAAUAUAAGAAUUAAUCUACUAUUAUAUAAAAGGUUAGGGUCAAUCCACUAAUUGCCAAUUAGUUUUAAGUUGAAAGACCAUAAUAAACCUAAAUCUAACAAGAGGAGAUUUUGUACUUUUUCUUCUACACGGUUUCAAACUAAAUAUUGUUGACAAAAUAAAAAAGUAAACUAAGUGAUAAUAUUACUCUAUUAGUCCACCUUAAGAUUAAGAAAAUCAUACCCAAUGUCUUUUUUCCUACACGCUUUCUGAUUAAGGCAACCUAAGUAAUGCUGACAAACAUAAAAGCAAUUAAGUUAAGAAACUAUUCUGCAGUACUGUUUUUUUUUUUCCAACAAGCUUACAAAUCAAUUAGUGCGACUGCAAAUAUAUGAAUAUACAGAAAAUUUCCAACCAAAGAAUGGUAGUGGAGAAACAUUGACUGACGCAAGAAGAAAAUAAAGUUAGAGAGAAUAGGGAUAUAAAAUCAUUACUAACAAGUUCAGUACGACCUAUAAGGCCCACGUGAUCUUAGUCAAAUUCAAUCUACCAUUUUGACUAGUAGGUGAGAGAGAUGUAGACAUUGUCUGUUUGGAAUAAUUAGAUUUUAAGUUAACACAACUUCAUGUUUUUCAUGAAAAGAAGGUAAGCUCGUUUUCAUGUUACCGAUACAAUAGUGAAUGUGUAUGAACAGUUUUUGUGUCUGCUUACAAUUUCUCAAGGUCCAAACGUUACAGGGUUUAUCAUGUCAUAUUGAAGGCAUCUCAAAGUUUCCGAAAGCUCAUUAAUGCGUGGGUGUGAAGUACAGUCACCGACUACAAAAGCUGACACUUGGUUUCCUACUUCUAUCCAGCUACAUCCAGGUGUUUUCUUCAUGCCUCGCUCAACCAUUUCUCUCCUCACAUCUUCUGCUUCCUUCCACCUCCCACUAGAGCAGUACAAGUUAGACAACAGAACAAAACUCAUCUCCUCGCUUGGCUCCGCU